CACCUUCCGGCACUAUGUCAGACAAUACUCCAUUGCUAUUCACAGGGUUUUCAUAGCCAAUCUUUUCGGAAGUGGGUGGCCAGAUUCUUCUUCCUAGUCUCUUAGUCUGGAUGCUCCACUGAAGGCUGUCCACCAUGGGUGACCCUGCUGGUAUAUGAAAUACUGGAGUCAUAGCUUUCAGCAUCACAGCAACACACAGCCACUACAGUAGGACAACCGACAGAAGGGUGGUGUGGUUCCCCAACGAGAAACAAACCCAAACCGGAAGCUGAACCCCAGGCCCAGCGGUAAGAGACUCUUAACCACUAGACCAUCAAGGAUGGCUCCUUUCCAUAUAUCACAUAUAAACAAAACCCUAGUUCUGGAACACAAUAGAAUACUUGCUUCUUAGGAAUACUGAAUGUAUAAUAAAUGCUUUAAAGAAGAACAAAAGAGAUGCCUCAGAGACAACAUGGUAAGUUAACUUGUCUAUACAGGUCCAGAAAUUUGUUUGAACUUUCCAAUACAUUUUGUCCAUUGUGGCAUUACCUAUCUAUUUAUUUUAACUUUAGUGCUGACUAUAAAAGUGUUUAUAAUUAAAAAAGAAAAACUUUGGGCCAGCCUGGUGGUGUAGUGGUUAAGUUCACGUGCUCUGCUUCAGCAACCCAGGGUUCACAAGUUUGGGUCCCGGGUGCGGACCUAGCAUGGCUCAUCAAGCCAUGCUGUGCCAGCAAACCACAUAAAAUAGAGGAAGAUUGGCACAGAUGUUGGCUCAGCAAUAAUCCUCCUCAAGCAAAAAGAGGAAGUUUGGUAACAGAUGUUUGCUCAGGGCCAAUCUUCCUCACAAAAAAAAAAGAAAAACUUUACAAAAUGCAAAAAUAAUAAGAUCCUGAUAAAGAUCUGGCCUGAUUUUGAUCUGCAACAAUGCAAGCACUAUAUAAAAAAAAAAAUCUCUUCUCCUUUUCUCUUGUUUUGUUCCCUACUUCCAUAUGGUCCCUUCAUGCACACACAGUUGCUGCUGUAGUUGCUACUACAGUCACCCACAACUCCUACAUUGCUCAACCCAGCUUCUAGAACAUUUGCCCACUUUGCAAUAGGAGACACUCAGCCUCAAUCCUCCCAUUUAAUUCCUCUGAAGGAGAGAGGAGGGAGGAGGCAUGGGGUUGAUUAGAAUUCAGAGAUAUUAGGACUCAGGAUUCAGAAACAGCUUUAGGGAAGUUCAAGGUUAACACUAUUAAUAUUGUUUCAACUACCCUAUGGAUGCAAAGGAGAAAAGGAUGGUUAUGUUUCUCCUCCUGGUUUCUAGUGCUUUCUAGUGGAUCCCAAAAUUUUGUUUUAAUUAGCAUGGUAAUACAUACACCCGCAGAUUAAAUAAAAAACUCAGGGUUCUAUUUCCACUUAUGAUGUUGAAUGCCAUAAAAGAACAUUUUUCCCACUCUAACAACAACAACAACAAAGUCAGAUGAUCUACAAAAUUAUAACAAUGCUUGAGCCCAUCAGAGAACUGAAAUCAUAAUGCCUCAACCAAUCUGAAUUCCAAAGAGGGACAAGCCUUUCCAAAGGGUGACUGGACACACAAACUGUUCAGCCUUUGGCAGAGCAAGGAAGAAAGAGGUGGUCACUCUCUAAGCAGGUCCAAGGCCCAAGAAGAGUGAGCCUCAAGUAAGCAGAUGCAGAGUCCACUGUUGAGCUGUACCCUGACCUUCAUCCAUCCUCUCAGCUGGUUGUUCCCUACUGGUCUCAGCUUCACCGUUCUGAACUUCCAUCUGUCCCAGCCCAUGAGGAGUAUUAAUUCCAUGGACCUCUGAUUUUCUUUUGGACAAACUGAAGCUGUCAAGGAAGGAAGGAAAAUAUAGAUAUAACUAUGAUCAUUCACAGUUAAAAGUUUAAAGCCAAGAGACCAUAAUUUUAUAAAUGAAGACAUGAACCAGCAGGUCUAUUUGGCUAUGGCUGAACGGAGAAGCCAUCAUGAUCACUAGAAGGUAGAAGAGCUUAGAGACAGCGUUUAUGGGCCACCUCCCCUUACCUCCAAAUAGUAAAAACAAGAAUUGAUGGAAUUUCU
Equus asinus (donkey) is the source of this 2041-nucleotide long non-coding RNA. The record is from Ensembl. NCBI's taxonomy places the organism in Eukaryota, Metazoa, Chordata, Mammalia, Perissodactyla, Equidae.